AUUGAACGCUGGCGGCAGGCCUAACACAUGCAAGUCGAGCGGAGCGGCGGACGGGUGAGUAAUGCCUAGGAAUCUGCCUGGUAGUGGGGGAUAACGUCCGGAAACGGGCGCUAAUACCGCAUACUAUCAGAUGAGCCUAGGUCGGAUUAGCGAGUGGGUGGGGUAAAGGCCUACCAAGGCGACGAUCCGUAACUGGGCUGAGAGUAGGAUCAGUAAAAAUGGAACUGAGACACGGGCCAUACUCCUACGGGAGGCAGCAGUGGGGAAUAUGGGACAAUGGGCGAAAGCCUGAUCCAGCCAUGCCGCGUGUGGGAAGAAGGUCUUCGGAUUGUAAAGCACUGUAAGCGGGGAGGCGUUACCCGCAGAAGAAGCACCGGCUAACUCCGUGCCAGCCGCCGCGGUAAUUC
Molecule: ribosomal RNA, 407 nt
Filed under: uncultured bacterium
Lineage: Bacteria
Description: partial 16S ribosomal RNA
Rfam family: Bacterial small subunit ribosomal RNA
Source: RNAcentral